AAUGAUAUACUCGUCUUUAAUGAUAUUAUACGUUCACUCUCUAUGGUGGAGCUUCCCAUCAAGGGGCGAGCGUUUACAUGGAGCAAUAUGCAGACAAAUCCGUUACUGGAACAACUCGAUUGGCAUUUUACUUCAGCAAAUUGGGCGGCCACAUACCCUAAUACGUUAGUCAUGCCACUGGGGAAGCGCGUUUCAGAUCACGUCCUCUGUUACGUAAGCAAUGACUCAGCUAUAAGGAGCACGAGGUGUGGAUCGGCGCCCCUCGGGUCUGGCAACGAGGCGGCCGGCCAUAGGGUAGUAGAGCAAGAGUGCCUGCGACAGAGCCUUCUUGAUUGUCUCAACCAGGUCGUCGAUUAG
RNAcentral lists this ribosomal RNA (357 nucleotides) under Triticum aestivum (bread wheat). RNAcentral's name for it is "partial small subunit ribosomal RNA". The record is from RNAcentral. Lineage: Eukaryota; Viridiplantae; Streptophyta; Magnoliopsida; Poales; Poaceae.